UUCGCAAUGCCCGAAAGGGUGACGAUGCGACGCCGCGUGAGCGAAGAAGGCCCUAGGGUUGUAAAGCUCUGUCGAGGGUUAUGAAAUAUAGAUGGGUUAAUACCCCAUUUAUUUGACAAAAGCCCAAAAGGAAGCCACGGCUAACUCUGUGCCAGCAGCCGCGGUAAUACAGAGGUGGCGAGCGUUGUUCGGUAUUAUUGGGCGUAAAGAGCACGUAGGUGGUUUUGUAAGUCAGGUGUGAAAGCCUUCUGUUCAAAGGAAGAACGGCAUCUGAAACUGCAGAUCUUGAGUGUAGGAGGGGGGAGUGGAACUUCUGGUGGAGCGGUGAAAUGCGUAGAUAUCAGAAGGAACGUCGGCGGCGAAAGCGACUCUCUGGCCUAUUACUGACACUGAGUGUGCGAAAGUUAGGGGAGCAAACGGGAUUAGAUACCCCGGUAGUCCUAACCGUAAACGAUGGGCACUAAGUAGAGGGGUUUU
Molecule: ribosomal RNA, 477 nt
Filed under: uncultured anaerobic ammonium-oxidizing bacterium
Lineage: Bacteria
Description: bacterial SSU rRNA
Rfam family: Bacterial small subunit ribosomal RNA
Source: RNAcentral